Molecule: small nuclear RNA, 177 nt
Filed under: Zalophus californianus (California sea lion)
Lineage: Eukaryota; Metazoa; Chordata; Mammalia; Carnivora; Otariidae
Description: U2 spliceosomal RNA (ENSZCAG00015015003.1)
Rfam family: U2 spliceosomal RNA
About the family: U2 is a small nuclear RNA (snRNA) component of the spliceosome (involved in pre-mRNA splicing).
Source: RNAcentral
AUCGCUUCUCGGCCUUUUGGCUAAGAUCAAGUGUAGUAUCUGUUCUUAUAAACUCUUCAAAAUUAACAUGAAUGUCUCCUUCUAACUCUGUCUAAGGUCCGGCACUCCUAGCCAGCACUCCAUCAACUACAGGGUAGAUUUGUUAUUUAAAAAAUUUUUUCUAAAAAAAAAAUUUCU